UCUAGAAGGAAAUGUACUGCAAAUGUUAAACCAUAGGCCAAAAUUCUAGCUAGAGACUCACGCUUGGUAGAAGCUCUGCUUCCCAGGCCUGCAGCUGUUUGUCAGAAAGAGGGAUGGGGAAGUGCUAAGCAGGAGCUAAAAACCAUGGCACCAAGAAGAGAGGGGAGAGUUAAAAAUGAAGUCACUCUCCCCACCAUGGUGUUCUCAGCCAGUGGGAGCUGCCCAGCCCACACCUCUGUGAGGCAGGCAGGACGGGGUCACUGCUCCCACUUUACAGAUGAGGAAAACUGAGAUUCGGAGGAACAACCAGCAUAGCCACGUUUCUCAGGGGUCUCCUAGUUCCCCACCUUCUGGGAGCAGGCAAGGGGCCACCUCAGUCCUCCACAGACCCGAUCCCAAAGCCCGUCGCAGCACUGGCGGCACAGUGGGACACCCUUCAUAAACCGGGGUUGAGAUGUGGUUCUGUGCCCAAGGCGCGGGCCCCUGAGGGCCUCCAGCCUCUGGAAAUAGGCCCCAGGGCUGCACGGGGGGGAUAAGCCAGGCUAUUUUCAUCACUUCCUUCCACCCGCUUCCGCAGGGGCCACCUCAGCUGCAUCCCAUAGAGUUGCCACCCAGACCUCAGUCAGGACCUUUCAGGCCAGGCGGGAGCGCCCAACCGAAGGCUUCACAGCUGCCCUCACCACCCAGCCUUCAACGGUGUCCAGAGAGGGUCAGCCAGGCCUGGGUUGGGCACGCUCUACCUUCCCCAGUCACCAGCCUGUUUCCUGGAGGAGAAGGCUGAGACCCGAGAAGGGAGGUGAGUGCACCCCGUCCCAUGUCAGGCUCCGCUGUAUCCCC
Molecule: long non-coding RNA, 837 nt
Filed under: Piliocolobus tephrosceles (Ugandan red Colobus)
Lineage: Eukaryota; Metazoa; Chordata; Mammalia; Primates; Cercopithecidae
Description: lncRNA (ENSPTEG00000033349.1)
Source: RNAcentral